CCCUUAGAUGUUCUGGGCUGCACACGUGCUACACUGGCAGGUUCAGCGAGCUUCAUGCCCUGAUCUGAAAGGAAUGGGAAAUCUUUUCAAAACCUGCCGUGCUUGGGAUAGAUGUUUGCAAUUAUUCAUCUUCAACGAGGAUUGCCUUGUAAGCGCACGUCAUCAGCGUGCAUUGAAUACGACCCUGUAUUCUGUACACACCGCCCGUCGCUCCUACCGAUUGAAGUUUUCGGUGAGUUGACAGGAGGAUUUUUUUGAAACUGGUUCGCCAGUGGAUUUUAGAUCCAAAUACCAACGAAUCGAUGGCUUUAGAGGAAGGAGAAGUCGUAACA
RNAcentral lists this ribosomal RNA (332 nucleotides) under uncultured eukaryote. RNAcentral's name for it is "partial 18S ribosomal RNA". It matches the Rfam family "Eukaryotic small subunit ribosomal RNA", at positions 1470 to 1796 of the family's 1831-position model. The record is from RNAcentral.